UGGGGAUUAUUGGACAAUGGGGGGAACCCUGAUCCAGCCAUGCCGCGUGUGUGAAGAAGGCCUUAUGGUUGUAAAGCACUUUAAGCGAGGAGGAGGGUACUGGUAUUAAUACUACCAGGUACUGGACGUUACUCGCAGAAUAAGCACCGGCUAACUCUGUGCCAGCAGCCGCGGUAAUACAGAGGGUGCGAGCGUUAAUCGGAUUUACUGGGCGUAAAGCGUGCGUAGGCGGCUAAUUGAGUCGGAUGUGGAAACCCCGCGGUUAACUUGGGAAUUGCCUUCGAUAAUGGUUAGGUAGGGGGUGGGGGAGGAUGGUAGAAUUCCAGGUGGAGCGGUGAAAUGCGUAGGGGUCUGGAGGAAUACCGAUGGCGGAGGCAGCCAUCUGGCCUAACACUGACGCUGAGGUACGGAAGCAUGGGGGGGAAACAGG
RNAcentral lists this ribosomal RNA (430 nucleotides) under Pseudomonadota bacterium. RNAcentral's name for it is "Proteobacteria bacterium partial 16S ribosomal RNA". It matches the Rfam family "Bacterial small subunit ribosomal RNA", at positions 355 to 776 of the family's 1533-position model. Lineage: Bacteria; Pseudomonadati; Pseudomonadota. The record is from RNAcentral.